This 797-nucleotide ribosomal RNA is filed under the name uncultured bacterium. RNAcentral describes it as "bacterial SSU rRNA". It matches the Rfam family "Bacterial small subunit ribosomal RNA", at positions 8 to 794 of the family's 1533-position model. The record is from RNAcentral.
AGAGUUUGAUCCUGGCUCAGAGUGAACGCUGGCGGCAGGCCUAAUACAUGCAAGUCGAACGGCAGCACAGCAGUAGCAAUACUGUGGGUGGCGAGUGGCGGACGGGUGAGGAAUACGUCGGAAUCUGCCCAGUCGUGGGGGAUAACUAGCCGAAAGGUUAGCUAAUACCGCAUACGACCGAGAGGUGAAAGCGGGGGACCGCAAGGCCUCGCGCGAUUGGAUGAGCCGACGUCGGAUUAGCUAGUUGGUGGGGUAAAGGCCUACCAAGGCGACGAUCCGUAGCUGGUCUGAGAGGAUGAUCAGCCACACUGGAACUGAGACACGGUCCAGACUCCUACGGGAGGCAGCAGUGGGGAAUAUUGGACAAUGGGCGCAAGCCUGAUCCAGCAAUGCCGCGUGUGUGAAGAAGGCCUUCGGGUUGUAAAGCACUUUUAUCAGGAACGAAAAGCGACGGACUAAUACUCUGUCGUGCUGACGGUACCUGAGGAAUAAGCACCGGCUAACUUCGUGCCAGCAGCCGCGGUAAUACGAAGGGUGCAAGCGUUAAUCGGAAUUACUGGGCGUAAAGCGUGCGUAGAUGGUGCGUUAAGUCGGAUGUGAAAGCCCCGGGCUCAACCUGGGAACUGCAUCCGAUACUGGCGGACUAGAGUGUGAUAGAGGAUGGCGGAAUUCCCGGUGUAGCGGUGAAAUGCGUAGAGAUCGGGAGGAACAUCCGUGGCGAAGGCGGCCAUCUGGAUCAACACUGACGUUGAGGCACGAAAGCGUGGGGAGCAAACAGGAUUAGAUACCCCGGUAGU